Long non-coding RNA from Maniola jurtina (meadow brown), 153 nucleotides. RefSeq lists it as uncharacterized. The record is from RefSeq and is a predicted model, not a curated record. NCBI's taxonomy places the organism in Eukaryota, Metazoa, Arthropoda, Insecta, Lepidoptera, Nymphalidae. The transcript is spliced from 3 exons.
ACCCGGCUGAACUUGUUGUGGGCGCUUCUCAGAUCUGGGCGCGUUUAGAACUCUCGUAGCUUUAGUUUUAAGUUUACGUGAUCAAUUACCACCACUAUAUAAUCAUUCAAAUCUAACAAUUCUGACCAUCAAAAGGUGUACAAUAGUACCUAU